Molecule: long non-coding RNA, 2613 nt
Organism: Ostrea edulis (European flat oyster)
Lineage: Eukaryota; Metazoa; Mollusca; Bivalvia; Ostreida; Ostreidae
Exons: 2
Source: RefSeq, a predicted model, not a curated record
GAUGACAACAAACUUUCCAAUCUGAACGGAUUUAAAUUUGCAUGCGCUUUUCACAGUAAAUACAUAGUAACAACCUCAUGGAUUAUUUAAUUAGAAUUGGAAACAUGGGAUAUUUUACUUGGAGAAACAGAAAUUACAACAAUUUAAGGAUGAAAACCCGGCUAUUUGAGAUUUGAGUACAGAACAACACACUGCUAUAUAGGAGUGCUGUAAAGUAAUGAUUAGCCUGCAUCUUGUUGAUACAGUGAGAAACUAUAGUUUACCUCAUGUUAUCAUUCUAAAUGUUAUCAAUAUUAUACAAGAAGAAACAAAAUAUGGGAAUUUCGAAUCCAAGGUUUUAUACGACAGGUUUUCAUAAUGUAUGGAGAGCAUCGGGUGGCAUACUUAACGAGAUUAACGCACGCCGAUUUUGUUGAUGUUUUACCAGUUGGUAGAAGUUACAUUGUAUCGUCGAUAUAUGCUGUUACAAGGUGAAGGUCAGUUGAUCUGAGUGUGUAUUGAAUUUGAAGAGCAAAACAGAAUGUAUGCUAUAGGCCUACCAGUGCUUAUAGCUUCGAUAUAUCCAUUUUCUCGCAGUUUGUCAGGGUCUCUGUCCAAGAGAUGUUUGAAAAGGUGACUGGGUGUGUUUUUAAAGGUAAAGUUCUUGCUCCAACAAAAAAAUUAUCCACGUCUUUUUUCUUGUACCUUCCUUCGAAAAAUUGAAAAUUACUCAGUCUAAAUCCUUUUUACCGACAACUAGUAUACCGAGCACGACACAAAACAUCUUAAUGCAUUAUUAUUUACAAGCCGUUAACGUGACAAUUGUUUUUUUGUCGAUUAAAUCUAAUCUGUUUAUGAAAUGGCUAAUAGAUGUUUUCAAACCCGAGGGCGCAUAUGACGUCACACAAAAUGGCGCGUAAACUAGCGAAAGAAAAUAUGCAUAUCGCAAGAUUUGAAUUUCAUCGCAUUCAAACUCGAAAACUACGCAAAAUAUUUCAUUUAAAACACAUUUAAAGUAGUUUUAGGCAUAAAAAGAGUUAAUUUUGCUGAAAAAAUGAAAAAGUUUAGAAACAUGCGUUGUGUCCUUUAAGUUUAUUUUAACUUGAGGAUAAUUAAAACUGCAGUUGGACUAUACAGUCCUACAUAUUAGCCCUUCUUGAUUCCCUCCAUUUUGUUGACAAAAUACAUAUUCUUAUGUGGACAAACAUUUUUAAAUAAUAAAAGUACGAUUAUGAAAAUUUACAUGAUUUAGAAAUAAGAAAAUGUGUUUAUAAUAGUAUAGAAUUUCCCUUCCCUAAUACUGAAAAAAAUAUUUAUUAGGCCAUCUUUAAGAAAAUAUUUACUUGCCCUCUUGGCCUCUCCCGACUUGGGAUAAAAAGGGUCGAGUAGGAAAGUAGGGAGAAAAUUCUUUUUUAUUCACAUGAAGUUAAAAAAGCUAUAAAUUAGAUAAGAAAAUUUCGGAAUGAGUAAUAAAAAAAAUGUUAACUGGAGGUUAAAAAAGUUUUUUAUUUUUUUUAAUUUUUUUUUUAAUUUUUAAUAAUAAUAAUAAAGCUUUGAAAUAAAUGGAUUGUGAUUUUCUUUUAUCUUGGCUUCUUUUUCUUAUUCUAGAUGAUGGAGCUGAUGCCUGGUAGUGAGAUCUACAUUUAUCCCAAAGAUAUACAAGCUUUAUAUAAGCCAAAAAACAACAACAAGUGGAACUUUUCAGGAGGGGGAACCUAACUGGUGCAAAUGAAAAGACCAUUUUAAACACUAUUCUUGACGAUGCCGGGAUUCAGAGGCCAUUGUCAAGUUUUCGAUGAGGACCAACAUUAGUUCCCAAGUCAGCCUCCAGAACAUGAAACAGACCUAACUUUUAUACAUUCAGUAAUGUGAGAUAUAUAUUUGGGAUUCCCUUCAUAAGGGAUUGUCCAGUUUUCAAUGUGAUAAUAUGUACAAAGAGUUAGUGAUGAAUAUUUUAUUUAUAUUUUUGUGCCAAACUUUAUAAAUGAUUGAUUGUUUGAUGUUUUCCGCCACGCUCAACAAUUUUUCAGUUACCUGGUGGCACCCAGUUUUUAUUGGUGGAAGAGAGAACCCAGAUACAAUGUACCUUGGAAGAGACCACCGACAUUCCGAAAGUAAACUGGGAAACUUUCUCACUUACCGGCGCGAGCGGGAUUCGAACCCACGCCGACAGAGGUGAGAGGCCAUGUGAUUUGGAGCGCGAUGCUCUAACCACUCGGCCACCUUUAUAAAUGAAAUUAAUAUACCAAUAAUAGUCGCUGUUUAUAAUCGGUAAUGUCUUAUUAUCCCCAUCUUUUUUGUAACUUUUCCAUAACUUUUGUCGGGUAUAACUUUUUUGUAAUUUUUCCAUAACUUUAGUCGGGUAUAACUUUUAUGUAACUUUUCCAUAACUUUUGUCGGGUAUAACUUUUUUGUAACUUUUGUCGGGUAUAACUUUUUUGUAACUUUUCCAUAACUUUUGUCGGGUAUAACUUUUUUGUAACUUUCUCCAUAACUUUUGUUGGGUAUAACUUUUUUGUAACUUUUCCAUAACUUAAAUAUAACUUUUUGAUAACUUUUAUGAAGUAUAACUUUUUUGAAGUAUAACUUUUAUGCACUUGUUGUAUUCAUGUUGAAAUAAAAGAUGAUAACUUA